AGCACUGAAUGGAUCUGGGUGGCGAAAGCUAUUCAAUUCAAUCAAACUCUGAAUACCAGUGUAAUGUUCACGGAAAGUCAGAACUGCGGGGCUAAGCUCGUGGUUCGAGAGGGAAACAACCCAGACUUUCGUCUAAGGUCUCUAAAUUCAUGCUAAGUUGUUAAGGAAGUCAUUGUUCUCAGACAGCUAGGAGGUUGGCUUAGAAGCAGCCAUCCUUUAAAGAAAGCGUAACAGCUCACUAGUCAAGUCGUCUCGCGCCGAAAAUUUACCGGGGCUAAGCAUAUUACCGAAGCUACGGACUCUGCAGCAAUGCAGAUUGGUAGAGGAGCGUUUUUAAGCCACAGAAGCUGUCAUGUGAGUGAUGGUGGAGGCUUAGGAAGUGAGAAUGUUGGCAUAAGUAGCACAAAGGCGGGUGACAACCCCGCCCACCGAAAAUCUAAGGGUUCCUGGGCAACGCAAAUCGUCCCAGGGUUAGUCGGUCCUAAGGCGAGGCCAUUGUAAUGGUGGCGUAGUCGAUGGAUGAGCUGGUUAAUAUUCCAGCACUACCACAAUUUUCCGAUGGAGUGACGGACUUUUGAAGUUUGAGGGUGUAUUGGUUUGCACCUUGACGGUUUAGAAAUCUGACUUAGGUAAAUCCGGGUCAAUAAGAUGGACAGACUGGCAGCAGAUAAGGCCUUCGGGCUGAGUCAAUUCAAGUAGAGAGAGUUCCCAGAAAAACUUCUAGGGCUAAGGUUGUGGUAUCCGUACCGUAAACCGACACAGGUAGAUGAGGCGAGAAGCCUAAGGUGAACGAGAGAACCAUCGUUAAGGAACUAGGCAAAAAAGCGGUCGUAAGUUAGCAAUAAGACCUGCCCAGAGCAAUCUGGGCCGCAGCGAAUGACUUUCAAGUGACUGUUUACCAAAAACACAGCUCGCUGCUAAAUCGAAAGAUGAUGUAUAGGGGGUGAUGCCUGGCCAGUGUCCGAACGUUAAGAGGAGAGGUCAUCCUAGUUUACUAGGGGCAGCUUUGAAUUUAAGCGCGGAUGAACGCCGGCCGUAACUAUAACGGUCCUAAGGUAGCGAAAUUCCUUGUCGGGUAAGUUCCGACCUGCACGAAUGGCAUAACAACUUGAAAACUGUCUCAACGAUGGACUCGGCGAAAUUACAGGGCCAGUGAAGAUGCUGGCUAACCAUAGCUGGACGAAAAGACCCCGUGAAGCUUUACUAUAGCUUGAUAUUGGGUUAGGGAUAUAUCUGUUCAGAAUAGGUGGGAGCUUCGGCACCAGUGAGAUACCACCCUGAUGUAUUCUUAAUUCUUACUUUGAUCCGUGAAUCCGGAUAGAGGACAGUAUCUGGUGGGUAGUUUGUCUGGGGCGGAUGCCUCCUAAAAGGUAACGGAGGCGUUUACAAAGGUUGGCUAUCUCGGGAUGGAAACCCGAGAGAUAGUGUAAAGGCAUAAGCCAGCUUUACUGCAAGACCUGCAAGUCGCGCAGUUGCGAAAGCAGAACUUAGUGAUCCGACCGUGCGGUAUAGUACGGCGGAAGCUCAUCGGAUAAAAGCUACUCCGGGGAUAACAGGCUAGUCACGCCCAAGCGUCCACAGCGACGGCGUGGUUCGGCACCUCGAUGUCGGCUCGUCGCAUCCUGGGGGUGGAGAAGCUCCCAAGGGUUGGGCUGUUCGCCCAUUAAAGCGGCACGCGAGCUGGGUUCAGACCGUCGUAAGACAGGUCGGUCUCCUCUCCACUAUGGUCGCGGAAAUUUGAGAAGGCUCUUCCCUAGUACGAGAGGACCGGGAAGAACGAAGCUCUAGUGUGCCAGUUGUCCUACCAAGGGCAUUGCUGGGUAGCUACCUUCGGUUAAGAUAAACGCUGAAAGCAUCUAAGCGUGAAGCUGUCUUCAAGAUUAGAUUUCAUAGGUUGGUCAGAGAAUAUGACCUUGAUAGGCUCUAGGUGUAAGUCCAGCAAUGGAUUCAGCCAAGGAGUACUAAUAAACCAUUAGAUUUUCCC
RNAcentral lists this ribosomal RNA (1984 nucleotides) under wastewater metagenome. RNAcentral describes it as "bacterial LSU rRNA". It matches the Rfam family "Bacterial large subunit ribosomal RNA", at positions 906 to 2925 of the family's 2925-position model. The record is from RNAcentral.